GUUUGGUGAUACUAGUGCUUUCUAGUGUUUGAGUUGUUCGGGAGUCGUUAUAAGUCAGAUUACCUCAUUGUAACGCAGGUGUCCCCUGCUUUCCUUAUUUCCUUUUUUCUUGUAUGAACUUUGGCUUUCUUAAUAAAGCUGGGCGUCUAUCCUGAGUGUGAGCAUUCAUAGUUGUGAACUUGUGAUACUAUUGUUUAACUUGCUGCAAAGACUACUUUGACUUGCAAUUGGUUCAUAAAAUGGUCUGGUGCUUUA
RNAcentral lists this long non-coding RNA (255 nucleotides) under Oryza brachyantha (malo sina). Its description in RNAcentral is "long non-coding RNA (OBRA_LNC003559)". Lineage: Eukaryota; Viridiplantae; Streptophyta; Magnoliopsida; Poales; Poaceae. The record is from RNAcentral.